GCCUCCUUAGCUCAGCUGGUAGAGCAACUGACUUGUAAUCAGUAGGUCGCUGGUUCGAUCCCGGCAGGAGGCU
Hymenobacter sp. is the source of this 73-nucleotide transfer RNA. It matches the Rfam family "tRNA". Rfam says of the family: Transfer RNA (tRNA) molecules are approximately 80 nucleotides in length. Their secondary structure includes four short double-helical elements and three loops (D, anti-codon, and T loops). The record is from Rfam. Lineage: Bacteria; Pseudomonadati; Bacteroidota; Cytophagia; Cytophagales; Hymenobacteraceae.